AUGUUAAGAGCAGAAGCGUCUACAGUCUGCGGAUGAAUCCACCUAAUAGAUGGCUGUAGCAGAUCUGUAGAUCAUGCAGAGGCAGACGCAGAACCCAGAGCCCAGUCACGAGUUACACAUAUUUACACACGAGUAAUUUUACUCAGGACCUCAGAGCCGCAGUCAUGGACCAGGGAUCCACCAUGCCCGGAGCUGUAAAAACACAGUGGAGAAGAACUUGCAGCCAGCUAGCUGAGAAGGAACUUGGGGCUGUUAUGACAUGACCUGGUUUGCAGCCCACAAAAUGCUCCCCGUCUGUACCACGCUGUAUCCAACGGGACAAAACACGUCAUGGGACUGAGAGAGCCCACAUAUGUUCGUGUGACGAUGGAUGUGGCGGAACCACCACCUGACUUUCUUUACUGAUGUGAUGGCUGCCUUCUUGGAUGACAAACUGGGCAUUGAACCAGAGACCCCAGAGCUAAAAGCGUAAGUUCCUAUACGUUAAUUAAAGAACCAAGCCUCUGUAGCUAGGGGCUGUAACAACUCCUAUCCUCUAUGGAUGGGCACAGAGCGGGACUUGACACGUAUGCUCACCGGUGUGUUACAUUGACGGAGCCAUGUGGUAAGAGCAGGAGGGGAUGACAAAUCUAGGUAGGCAUCUGGCUGCCAUCACUAUGGUAGCUGGGCACGUAUCAAUUCUUGUGGACUUCUUCUCCCAGCUCUGUGCUCGCCAGGUGCCCCACCCACUUUGAACCUGGCACAACUCGCUUUUCUCAUCAGCAUUAAAUGCCUCCUGGCAGACCAAUGAUUCAUCUGAGCCGGUAUCCUGCCUCCAGCAGUGGCCAAUGUUAUGUGCGUCAGGCUUCAGUGUAAAAUGCACCUUAUGCACCUUGUUGCGUUAUCAGGGAAAUUUCUCCCUAA
Long non-coding RNA from Mauremys reevesii (Reeves's turtle), 903 nucleotides. RefSeq lists it as uncharacterized. The transcript is spliced from 3 exons. The record is from RefSeq and is a predicted model, not a curated record. NCBI's taxonomy places the organism in Eukaryota, Metazoa, Chordata, Testudines, Geoemydidae.